This 74-nucleotide transfer RNA is filed under the name Anaerolineales bacterium. RNAcentral's name for it is "tRNA-Asp". It matches the Rfam family "tRNA". Rfam says of the family: Transfer RNA (tRNA) molecules are approximately 80 nucleotides in length. The record is from RNAcentral. Lineage: Bacteria; Bacillati; Chloroflexota; Anaerolineae; Anaerolineales.
GGUCCCGUAGUGUAGCGGUUUAACACGCUGCCCUGUCAAGGCAGAGAUCGCGGGUUCAAAUCCCGUCGGGACCG